Molecule: ribosomal RNA, 465 nt
Filed under: Vreelandella stevensii
Lineage: Bacteria; Pseudomonadati; Pseudomonadota; Gammaproteobacteria; Oceanospirillales; Halomonadaceae
Description: partial 16S ribosomal RNA
Rfam family: Bacterial small subunit ribosomal RNA
Source: RNAcentral
CCUACGGGAGGCGGCAGUGGGGAAUAUUGGACAAUGGGGGCAACCCUGAUCCAGCCAUGCCGCGUGUGUGAAGAAGGCCCUCGGGUUGUAAAGCACUUUCAGUGAGGAAGAACGCCUGGUGGUUAAUACCCAUCAGGAAAGACAUCACUCACAGAAGAAGCACCGGCUAACUCCGUGCCAGCAGCCGCGGUAAUACGGAGGGUGCGAGCGUUAAUCGGAAUUACUGGGCGUAAAGCGCGCGUAGGUGGCUUGAUAAGCCGGUUGUGAAAGCCCCGGGCUCAACCUGGGAACGGCAUCCGGAACUGUCAAGCUAGAGUGCAGGAGAGGAAGGUAGAAUUCCCGGUGUAGCGGUGAAAUGCGUAGAGAUCGGGAGGAAUACCAGUGGCGAAGGCGGCCUUCUGGACUGACACUGACACUGAGGUGCGAAAGCGUGGGUAGCAAACAGGAUUAGAUACCCGUGUAGUC